AGUCGAGGGGCAGCAUGGUCUUAGCUUGCUAAGGCCGAUGGCGACCGGCGCACGGGUGAGUAACACGUAUCCAACCUGCCGUCUACUCUUGGACAGCCUUCUGAAAGGAAGAUUAAUACAAGAUGGCAUCAUGAGUCCGCAUGUUCACAUGAUUAAAGGUAUUCCGGUAGACGAUGGGGAUGCGUUCCAUUAGAUAGUAGGCGGGGUAACGGCCCACCUAGUCUUCGAUGGAUAGGGGUUCUGAGAGGAAGGUCCCCCACAUUGGAACUGAGACACGGUCCAAACUCNUACGGGAGGCAGCAGUGAGGAAUAUUGGUCAAUGGGCGAGAGCCUGAACCAGCCAAGUAGCGUGAAGGAUGACUGCCCUAUGGGUUGUAAACUUCUUUUAUAAAGGAAUAAAGUCGGGUAUGNAUACCCGUUUGCAUGUNCUUUAUGAAUAAGGAUCGGCUAACUCCGUGCCAGCAGCCGCGGUAAUACGGAGGAUCCGAGCGUUAUCCGGAUUUAUUGGGUUUAAAGGGAGCGUAGAUGGAUGUUUAAGUCAGUUGUGAAAGUUUGCGGCUCAACCGUAAAAUUGCAGUUGAUACUGGAUAUCUUGAGUGCAGUUGAGGCAGGCGGAAUUCGUGGUGUAGCGGUGAAAUGCUUAGAUAUCACGAAGAACUCCGAUUGCGAAGGCAGCCUGCUAAGCUGCAACUGACAUUGAGGCUCGAAAGUGUGGGUAUCAAACAGGAUUAGAUACCCUGGUAGUCCACACGGUAAACGAUGAAUACUCGCUGUUUUGCGAUAUACGGCAAGCGGCCAAGCGAAAGCGUUAAGUAUUCCACCUGGGGAGUACGCCGGCAACGGUGAAACUCAAAGGAAUUGACGGGGGCCCGCACAAGCGGAGGAACAUGUGGUUUAAUUCGAUGAUACGCGAGGAACCUUACCCGGGCUUAAAUUGCAGAUGAAUUACGGUGAAAGCCGUAAGCCGCAAGGCAUCUGUGAAGGUGCUGCAUGGUUGUCGUCAGCUCGUGCCGUGAGGUGUCGGCUUAAGUGCCAUAACGAGCGCAACCCUUGUUGUCAGUUACUAACAGGUUCCGCUGAGGACUCUGACAAGACUGCCAUCGUAAGAUGUGAGGAAGGUGGGGAUGACGUCAAAUCAGCACGGCCCUUACGUCCGGGGCUACACACGUGUUACAAUGGGGGGUACAGAGGGCCGCUACCACGCGAGUGGAUGCCAAUCCCAAAAACCUCUCUCAGUUCGGACUGGAGUCUGCAACCCGACUCCACGAAGCUGGAUUCGCUAGUAAUCGCGCAUCAGCCACGGCGCGGUGAAUACGUUCCCGGGCCUUGUACACACCGCCCGUCAAGCCAUGGGAGCCGGGGGUACCUGAAGUGCGUAACCGCGAGGAG
RNAcentral lists this ribosomal RNA (1389 nucleotides) under bacterium NLAE-zl-P565. Its description in RNAcentral is "16S ribosomal RNA". It matches the Rfam family "Bacterial small subunit ribosomal RNA". The record is from RNAcentral.